Molecule: long non-coding RNA, 130 nt
Organism: Cornus florida
Lineage: Eukaryota; Viridiplantae; Streptophyta; Magnoliopsida; Cornales; Cornaceae
Exons: 3
Source: RefSeq, a predicted model, not a curated record
GGACUAUCAUUAGAGAAGAAGGGACUCCUGCUCUUCUAAAGGAUUGAUUAUCACCAGUUCAUUAGGAGCAGAAGAAUCAGAAUUUCUAUGAUUCCAGUCUACAACAAAGCUACUUCCUUGGAUUUUGUAG